CGUACCAACGGACCGGCACACGCUUUCAAGGAUGAAGGUCGAGGACAUCGCGGGAGGCGAUUCAUCAGGAUGAUGAAAAGGGAUUACAGGGAUUAGGGAAAAAACGUGGGCGGGUCAAACCGCCCCUUUUUAC
Molecule: small RNA, 133 nt
Filed under: Pseudomonas asturiensis
Lineage: Bacteria; Pseudomonadati; Pseudomonadota; Gammaproteobacteria; Pseudomonadales; Pseudomonadaceae
Source: RNAcentral